UUUCCGUAAGUGAACCUGCGGAAGGAUCAUUAUUGUAUAACCGAGGUGCGAGGGCUGUCGCUGACCCGAAAGGUCGUGCACGCCCGAGUGCCCUCACACACAUCCAUCUCACCCCUAUGUGCACCACCGCGUGGGUCCCCCUUUGGCUUGUUCGGAGGGGGGCUUACGUUUUCACACAAACUUUGUAUGCAGUGUAGAAUGUAUUUUUUGUUUUUGCGAUCACGCAAUCAAUACAACUUUCAACAACGGAUCUCUUGGCUCAC
RNAcentral lists this unclassified non-coding RNA (263 nucleotides) under plant metagenome. RNAcentral describes it as "partial contains small subunit ribosomal RNA, internal transcribed spacer 1, and 5.8S ribosomal RNA". The record is from RNAcentral.